This 395-nucleotide ribosomal RNA is filed under the name uncultured bacterium. Its description in RNAcentral is "bacterial SSU rRNA". It matches the Rfam family "Bacterial small subunit ribosomal RNA", at positions 28 to 417 of the family's 1533-position model. The record is from RNAcentral.
GACGAACGCUGGCGGCGUGCUUAACACAUGCAAGUGGAGCGACGAACCAGGGCUUGCCCUGGGGCAAAGCCGCGAACGGGUGAGUAACACGUGGGUAACCUGCCCCGAUGACCGGGACAACCCGAGGAAACUCGGGCUAAUACCGGAUGAGCUCACGCCACAUCAGUGGCAUGAGGAAAGGAAGCUUCGGCCUCCGCAUUGGGAUGGGCCCGCGGCCCAUUAGCUUGUUGGGGGGUAAAGGCCUACCAAGGCUUCGAUGGGUAGCUGGUCUGAGAGGACGAUCAGCCACACUGGGACUGAGACACGGCCCAGACUCCUACGGGAGGCAGCAGUGGGGAAUCUUGCGCAAUGCGCGAAAGCGUGACGCAGCAACGCCGCGUGCGGGAAGACGGCCU